CACACGGUUACUACUCUCUCUAUCACAAUCACACACACACACACACAGUUUCACGCUCAAUCUUGCAUGAUGCUAUGGAGGAAACAGAAAUGUGCAUCAUAUGUGUUCGACGACAUUCAGUAGAUCUAACUCGUAUCAGUAUGCUAUUCAGUUGAUCAGUGUGUUGUAAUUUACCGGACAAAUUAUUGCAAGUCGGUAUCACACGCCAAUUAGAGGCGCGUUCGACAUUCAGGAGUUCUUACUCGUAAUCGGUAUAAUAUUCAAUUGAUCAGGUUGUUUCUUACUUUCAUUUGCAUAUUCUGUAACCUAAAUUUUCCCUCUGUUCCUUUUGUCAUGUUAUUGUUUGGUGAUUGUUUCUAAUCUGCUUGUUAAUUACUGGUUAUUUAGGCGUUUUUUGUGCUGAUGUUUGAUUUACUGGUUAUUUAGGCGUUUUUUGUGCUGAUGUUUGAUUUACUGGACUAAAAGUGUGCUGGAUACUCUCUCAAAUGGACAACACUAAAAGUUUUAACUAACUUUUAAAAACUAUUAAAUGUGCUUAAUCUAGGGAUUCCCUCCAAAAUAUAUAAUACUGCCAUCAAAGUCAAGUAGGAAAUACAUUAAAUAUCUUUGACUAAACAUGUUAUUUUGUUUCUAAUCUGCUUGUUAGUUAUUUAGGCGUUUUUUGUGCUGAUGUUUGAUUUACUGGACUGUAUUUUAAAAGAAGAAGAUGAGAGAACACAAAAAGUUUUAACUAACUUUUAAAACCUAUUAAAUGUGCUUAAUCUAUUGAUUCCCUCCAGAAACUAUAUAAUACUGCCAUCAAAGUCAAGUAGGAAAUACAUUAAAUAAAUAUCUUUAGCUAAACAUGUUAUUUUGCCUAAAAUUUAAUAGUACAAUAAUAAUCUCCAUUAUCUAUUAAAACACAAAGAGCAAAAGUCACUCACAGUCCCACAUCCGCUGAAUGAAGAACACACAGAUGAAGGGACUACCUAUAUAAACAGAGGCCUAUUACAAGAAAAAG
This 1000-nucleotide long non-coding RNA is filed under the name Helianthus annuus (common sunflower). Its description in RNAcentral is "hypothetical non coding rna". The record is from RNAcentral. Lineage: Eukaryota; Viridiplantae; Streptophyta; Magnoliopsida; Asterales; Asteraceae.